RNAcentral lists this ribosomal RNA (441 nucleotides) under uncultured bacterium. Its description in RNAcentral is "partial 16S ribosomal RNA". It matches the Rfam family "Bacterial small subunit ribosomal RNA", at positions 340 to 795 of the family's 1533-position model. The record is from RNAcentral.
UACUGGUGGCAGCAGUGGGGAAUAUUGGGCAAUGGGCGCAAGCCUGACCCAGCAACGCCGCGUGAAGGAAGAAGGCUUUCGGGUUGUAAACUUCUUUUCUCAGGGACGAAGCAAGUGACGGUACCUGAGGAAUAAGCCACGGCUAACUACGUGCCAGCAGCCGCGGUAAUACGUAGGUGGCAAGCGUUAUCCGGAUUUACUGGGUGUAAAGGGCGUGUAGGCGGGACUGCAAGUCAGAUGUGAAAACCACGGGCUCAACCUGUGGCCUGCAUUUGAAACUGUAGUUCUUGAGUACUGGAGAGGAAAGCGGAAUUCCUAGUGUAGCGGUGAAAUGCGUAGAUAUUAGGAAGAACACCAGUGGCGAAGGCGGCUUUCUGGACUGAAACUGACGCUGAGGCACGAAAGCGUGGGGAGCGAACAGGAUUAGAUACCCGUGUAGUC